RNAcentral lists this ribosomal RNA (461 nucleotides) under uncultured bacterium. RNAcentral's name for it is "bacterial SSU rRNA". It matches the Rfam family "Bacterial small subunit ribosomal RNA", at positions 28 to 507 of the family's 1533-position model. The record is from RNAcentral.
GACGAACGCUGGCGGUGUGCCUCAUACAUGCAAGUCGAACGAGAAGAGAAAGCUUGCUUUCUCGGAAAGUGGCGGACGGGUGAGCACAACAUAGGAAAUCUGCCUUUAGGUGGGGGACAACAGAGGGAAACUUCUGCUAAUACCCCAUAUGAGCUAACCUGAAAUGGUUAUCUUGAAAGUUCCGGCGCCUAAAGAUGAGCCUGUGCCUGAUUAGCUAGUUGGUGGUGUAAUGGACUACCAAGGCGACGAUCAGUAGCUGGUUUGAGAGGAUGAUCAGCCACAAUGGGACUGAGACACGGCCCAUACUCCUACGGGAGGCAGCAGUGGGGAAUAUUGGGCAAUGGGGGAAACCCUGACCCAGCAACGCCGCGUGGAGGAAGAAGGUUUUCGGAUCGUAAACUCCUGUCCUCAGGGAAGAGCAGAAGACGGUACCUGAGGAGGAAGCCCCGGCUAACUACGUG